RNAcentral lists this ribosomal RNA (440 nucleotides) under uncultured bacterium. Its description in RNAcentral is "partial 16S ribosomal RNA". It matches the Rfam family "Bacterial small subunit ribosomal RNA", at positions 338 to 795 of the family's 1533-position model. The record is from RNAcentral.
CCUACGGGUGGCAGCAGUGGGGGAUAUUGCACAAUGGGGGAAACCCUGAUGCAGCGACGCCGCGUGAGUGAAGAAGUAUUUCGGGAUGUAAAGCUCUAUCAGCAGGGAAGAAAAUGACAGUACCUGACCAAGAAGCCCCGGCGAACUACGUGCCAGCAGCCGCGGUAAUACGUAGGGGGCAAGCGUGAGCCGGAUUUACUGGGUGUAAAGGGAGCGUCGCCGGUUCGGGAAGUCUGGAGUGAAAGCCCGGGGCCCACCCCCGGGACUGCUUUUGAAACGGUGUAACUGGAGUACAGGAGGGGCCGGCGGAAUUCCUGGUGUAGCGGUGAAAUGCGUAGAUAUCAGGCGGAACACCGGCGGCGAAGGCGGCCUGCUGGACUGCAACUGACGUUGCGGCUCGAAAGCGUGGGGAGCAAACAGGAUUAGAUACCCUGGUAGUC